GGGGGGGGGCGGGCUACACAUGGCAAGUCGUGCGCGCCCUUCGGGGUGAGCGGCGGACGGGUGAGUAACGCGUGGGAACGUGCCCUUCAGUUGAGGAUAGCCCCGGGAAACUGGGAGUAAUACUCGAUACGCUCUACGGAGGAAUGAAGGAUCGGCCCGCGUUAGAUUAGGUAGUUGGUGCGGUAAUGGCGCACCAAGCCUACGAUCUAUAGCUGGUUUUAGAGGAUGAUCAGCCACACUGGGACUGAGACACGGCCCAGACUCCUACGGGAGGCAGCAGUGAGGAAUCUUAGACAAUGGGCGCAAGCCUGAUCUAGCCAUGCCGCGUGUGUGAUGAAGGCCUUAGGGUCGUAAAGCACUUUCGCCAGAGAUGAUAAUGACAGUAUCUGGUAAAGAAACCCCGGCUAACUCCGUGCCAGCAGCCGCGGUAAUACGGAGGGGGUUAGCGUUGUUCGGAAUUACUGGGCGUAAAGCGCACGUAGGCGGACUGGAAAGUUGGGGGUGAAAUCCCAGGGCUCAACCCUGGAACUGCCUCCAAAACUAUCAGUCUAGAGUUCGAGAGAGGUGAGUGGAAUUCCGAGUGUAGAGGUGAAAUUCGUAGAUAUUCGGAGGAACACCAGUGGCGAAGGCGGCUCACUGGCUCGAUACUGACGCUGAGGUGCGAAAGUGUGGGGAGCAAACAGGAUUAGAUACCCCUGGUAGUCCACACCGUAAACGAUGAAUGCCAGUCGUCGGGUUGCAUGCAAUUCGGCGACACACCUAACGGAUUAAGCAUUCCGCCUGGGGAGUACGGUCGCAAGAUUAAAACUCAAACGAAUUGACGGGGGCCCGCACAAGCGGCGGAGCAUGCGGUGUAAUUUCGCAGCAACGCGCUACAACCUUUACCAACCCCUUGACAUACUCCGUCGUCGCUCCAGAGAUGGUAGCUUUCACUUAAAUGGACGAUAUACAUGGUGCUGCUUCGACUUGUCGUCAGCUUCGUGUCG
This 986-nucleotide ribosomal RNA is filed under the name marine bacterium 2ORI6(2). RNAcentral's name for it is "bacterial SSU rRNA". It matches the Rfam family "Bacterial small subunit ribosomal RNA", at positions 38 to 1067 of the family's 1533-position model. The record is from RNAcentral.